Molecule: ribosomal RNA, 636 nt
Filed under: Streptomyces sp. So2Pt_152
Lineage: Bacteria; Bacillati; Actinomycetota; Actinomycetes; Kitasatosporales; Streptomycetaceae
Description: bacterial SSU rRNA
Rfam family: Bacterial small subunit ribosomal RNA
Source: RNAcentral
CCUGAUGCAGCGACGCCGCGUGAGGGAUGACGGCCUUCGGGUUGUAAACCUCUUUCAGCAGGGAAGAAGCGAAAGUGACGGUACCUGCAGAAGAAGCGCCGGCUAACUACGUGCCAGCAGCCGCGGUAAUACGUAGGGCGCAAGCGUUGUCCGGAAUUAUUGGGCGUAAAGAGCUCGUAGGCGGCUUGUCACGUCGGAUGUGAAAGCCCGAGGCUUAACCUCGGGUCUGCAUUCGAUACGGGCUAGCUAGAGUGUGGUAGGGGAGAUCGGAAUUCCUGGUGUAGCGGUGAAAUGCGCAGAUAUCAGGAGGAACACCGGUGGCGAAGGCGGAUCUCUGGGCCAUUACUGACGCUGAGGAGCGAAAGCGUGGGGAGCGAACAGGAUUAGAUACCCUGGUAGUCCACGCCGUAAACGUUGGGAACUAGGUGUUGGCGACAUUCCACGUCGUCGGUGCCGCAGCUAACGCAUUAAGUUCCCCGCCUGGGGAGUACGGCCGCAAGGCUAAAACUCAAAGGAAUUGACGGGGGCCCGCACAAGCGGCGGAGCAUGUGGCUUAAUUCGACGCAACGCGAAGAACCUUACCAAGGCUUGACAUAUACCGGAAAGCAUUAGAGAUAGUGCCCCCCUUGUGGUCGG